CCACCACAGGCAGGGUGGGGUUCGUGGGGCGAUGGGACCCUUGGGGACGGCGCCACGAGCUAGGAGGACCUGUGGGGGGUACUCGGUGACGAGCAAAGUACCUUUGCCUCCAUCUUCUCGACUAGGACGCAUGUUAGACCCUUUUGCCCUCAUGUUGGACUUGUAGGACUUGUUGGACAUGUAUGUUGGACAUGUAUGCACUUGUUAC
Long non-coding RNA from Sorghum bicolor (sorghum), 208 nucleotides. RefSeq lists it as uncharacterized. The transcript is spliced from 2 exons. NCBI's taxonomy places the organism in Eukaryota, Viridiplantae, Streptophyta, Magnoliopsida, Poales, Poaceae. The record is from RefSeq and is a predicted model, not a curated record.